Molecule: ribosomal RNA, 446 nt
Filed under: uncultured bacterium
Lineage: Bacteria
Description: partial 16S ribosomal RNA
Rfam family: Bacterial small subunit ribosomal RNA
Source: RNAcentral
CCUACGGGUGGCAGCAGUCGAGAAUCAUUCACAAUGGGGGAAACCCUGAUGGUGCGACGCCGCGUGGGGGAAUGAAGGUCUUCGGAUUGUAAACCCCUGUCAUGUGGGAGCAAAUUAAAAAGAUAGUACCACAAGAGGAAGAGACGGCUAACUCUGUGCCAGCAGCCGCGGUAAUACAGAGGUCUCAAGCGUUGUUCGGAAUCACUGGGCGUAAAGGGUGCGGAGGCGUGUUCGUAAGUCGUGUGUGAAAGGCGCGGGCUCAACCGGCGGACGGCACAUGAUACUGCGGGACUAGAGUAAUGGAGGGGGAACCGGAAUUCUCGGUGUAGCAGUGAAAUGCGUAGAUAUCGAGAGGAACACUCGUGGCGAAGGCGGGUUCCUGGACAUUAACUGACGCUGAGGCACGAAGGCCAGGGGAGCGAAAGGGAUUAGAUACCCCUGUAGUC